AUUGAACGCUGGCGGCAUGCUUUACACAUGCAAGUCGAACGGCAGCGCGGGGCAACCUGGCGGCGAGUGGCGAACGGGUGAGUAAUAUAUCGGAACGUACCCAGAAGUGGGGGAUAACGUAGCGAAAGUUACGCCAAUACCGCAUACGAUCUACGGAUGAAAGUGGGGGACCUUCGGGCCUCAUGCUUGUGGAGCGGCCGAUAUCUGAUUAGCUAGUUGGUAGGGUAAAGGCCUACCAAGGCGACGAUCAGUAGCUGGUCUGAGAGGACGACCAGCCACACUGGGACUGAGACACGGCCCAGACUCCUACGGGAGGCAGCAGUGGGGAAUUUUGGACAAUGGGCGCAAGCCUGAUCCAGCAAUGCCGCGUGAGUGAAGAAGGCCUUCGGGUUGUAAAGCUCUUUUGUCAGGGAAGAAACGGCGAUUUCUAAUAAAGAUUGCUAAUGACGGUACCUGAAGAAUAAGCACCGGCUAACUACGUGCCAGCCGCCGCCGUAA
RNAcentral lists this ribosomal RNA (498 nucleotides) under uncultured bacterium. RNAcentral's name for it is "partial 16S ribosomal RNA". It matches the Rfam family "Bacterial small subunit ribosomal RNA", at positions 30 to 523 of the family's 1533-position model. The record is from RNAcentral.